GUCUUCUAAAAAUAUUUUUCAACUUUACCUCUCCCCAAACCCCUCCCACCCUGUUAAAUAAAAUUUAUUGCUGAGUUAUUUUCUUUAGUUGUACAUUUUAUGUCUGGUAUAUUUUAUUUUGAUUGCUAUGGAAGCUGGUAUGAAAUGUGGGAAGCUCAAUGUAUCAGUUUAUGAUGUCUAAUUUGAAUAUUUCAUUUUUAAUUGGCCUCUGUUAAUACGAACAUUAAGCUAUUUUAUCAUUUAAUACUAUAGUCAUUCACAGUUGUGCAUGCUAAAAUGUUUGAAU
RNAcentral lists this long non-coding RNA (286 nucleotides) under Bos taurus (domestic cattle). Its description in RNAcentral is "long non-coding RNA NONBTAT018353". Lineage: Eukaryota; Metazoa; Chordata; Mammalia; Artiodactyla; Bovidae. The record is from RNAcentral.